UGCGUAGGCGGUUUGUUAAGUCUGUUGUGAAAUCCCCGGGCUCAACCUGGGAAUGGCAAUGGAUACUGGCAAGCUAGAGUGUGUCAGAGGAUGGUGGAAUUCCCGGUGUAGCGGUGAAAUGCGUAGAGAUCGGGAGGAACAUCAGUGGCGAAGGCGGCCAUCUGGGACAACACUGACGCUGAAGCACGAAAGCGUGGGGAGCAAACA
This 207-nucleotide ribosomal RNA is filed under the name uncultured bacterium. RNAcentral's name for it is "partial 16S ribosomal RNA". It matches the Rfam family "Bacterial small subunit ribosomal RNA", at positions 568 to 774 of the family's 1533-position model. The record is from RNAcentral.